Long non-coding RNA from Pecten maximus, 413 nucleotides. RefSeq lists it as uncharacterized. The record is from RefSeq and is a predicted model, not a curated record. Lineage: Eukaryota; Metazoa; Mollusca; Bivalvia; Pectinida; Pectinidae. The transcript is spliced from 3 exons.
UAGCGUUAACACUGUAUGGAAAGAGGCAGCAUAUAGUUGCACGGAUGCUGAUAGUUUUCCUCGUCCAGUACCUGAUACGUGUACGUUUGAUUCCUCGACUUGGUUUGGAGGUUUUCGCCGUCUGCAGUAUGUCCCAGGUUCAACUGACGGCACCUUUUGUAAAAGUUUAUCUUUUGCCGGUGGAAACGACAACCCGUCUUAUAAGGAAGUCAGUUGUGACAUGUCAUUAAAGUUUUACUGCCGAUUUAUAGAGUCGGGAUAUAACGAGACAUGUGACGUCAACAUACAUUCUUCCUGUGAUACCAGAUUCAUCUGUUCUGACCGUGGUGGUUCUCCCAAGUGCCUGUGCCCUGAGGACAAGUACUUGGAUAAUACAUUCGGAAUUUGUGGAACAAGUAUGUAUUUUCAGACUA